CAAUAGCGUAUAUUAGAGUUGUUGCGGUUAAAAAGCUCGUAGUUGGAUCUCGGCAGGCAGGGGGUGGUUCGCUCUUAGCGCUACUGCCCCAUUUGCCUGUGUGAUUGGCGGAGGUUUCGGGGUGCUCUUCGUUGAGUGACCCGGGGCGCCGUCAGGUUUACUUUGAAAAAAUUAGAGUGCUCAAAGCAGGCUUUUCACGCUUGAAUAUUCGUGCAUGGAAUAAUGGAAUAGGAACUCGUUUCUAUUUUGUUGGUUUUCGGAAAUCGAGUUAAUGAUUAAUAGGGACAAUUGGGGGCAUUAGUAUUCAGACGACAGAGGUGAAAUUCUUGGACCGUCUGAAGACUAACUACUGCGAAAGCAUUUGCCAAGAGUGUUUUCAUUAA
This 383-nucleotide ribosomal RNA is filed under the name uncultured eukaryote. RNAcentral describes it as "partial 18S ribosomal RNA". It matches the Rfam family "Eukaryotic small subunit ribosomal RNA", at positions 592 to 976 of the family's 1831-position model. The record is from RNAcentral.